AGUUUUAUAUUCAAUAUUAAUGAUUUUAAAUUGCAAAUUUAAAGUAGUAAAUUUAAUUUACUAAAACUU
This 69-nucleotide transfer RNA is filed under the name Brachycentrus subnubilus. Its description in RNAcentral is "tRNA-Cys". The record is from RNAcentral. Lineage: Eukaryota; Metazoa; Arthropoda; Insecta; Trichoptera; Brachycentridae.